CCUACGGGAAGCAGCAGUGAGGAAUAUUGGUCAAUGGACGAUAGUCUGAACCAGCCAAGUAGCGUGAAGGAUGACUGCCCUAUGGGUUGUAAACUUCUUUUAUAUGGGAAUAAAACGUUCCACGUGUGGGAUUUUGUAUGUACCAUAUGAAUAAGGAUCGGCUAACUCCGUGCCAGCAGCCGCGGUACUACGGAGGAUCCGAGCGUUAUCCGGAUUUAUUGGGUUUAAAGGGAGCGUAGGUGGAUUGUUAAGUCAGUUGUGAAAGUUUGCGGCUCAACCGUAAAAUUGCAGUUGAUACUGGCAGUCUUGAGUACAGUAGAGGUGGGCGGAAUUCGUGGUGUAGCGGUGAAAUGCUUAGAUAUCACGAAGAACUCCGAUUGCGAAGGCAGUUCACUGGACUGCAACUGACACUGAGGCUCGAAAGUGUGGGUAUCAAACAGGAUUAGAUACCCUUGUAGUC
RNAcentral lists this ribosomal RNA (460 nucleotides) under uncultured bacterium. RNAcentral describes it as "partial 16S ribosomal RNA". It matches the Rfam family "Bacterial small subunit ribosomal RNA", at positions 338 to 795 of the family's 1533-position model. The record is from RNAcentral.